UACGUAGGGGGCAAGCGUUGUCCGGAUUUAUUGGGCGUAAAGAGCGUGUAGGCGGCUAGGUAGGUCCGUUGUGAAAACUCGAGGCUCAACCUCGAGCUGUCGAUGGAAACCAUCUGGCUAGAGUCCGGAAGAGGAGAGUGGAAUUCCUGGUGUAGCGGUGAAAUGCGCAGAUAUCAGGAGGAACACCCGUGGCGAAAGCGGCUCUCUGGGACGGUACUGACGCUGAGACGCGAAAGCGUUGGGAGCAAACAGG
This 253-nucleotide ribosomal RNA is filed under the name uncultured bacterium. Its description in RNAcentral is "partial 16S ribosomal RNA". It matches the Rfam family "Bacterial small subunit ribosomal RNA", at positions 524 to 776 of the family's 1533-position model. The record is from RNAcentral.